This 446-nucleotide ribosomal RNA is filed under the name uncultured bacterium. RNAcentral's name for it is "bacterial SSU rRNA". It matches the Rfam family "Bacterial small subunit ribosomal RNA", at positions 330 to 793 of the family's 1533-position model. The record is from RNAcentral.
GCCAGACUCCUACGGGAGGCAGCAGUGGGGGAUGUUGCACAAUGGGGGAAACCCUGAUGCAGCGACGCCGCGUGGGUGAAGAAGCGCCUCGGCGCGUAAAGCCCUGUCAGCAGGGAAGAAAAUGACGGUACCUGACUAAGAAGCCCCGGCUAACUACGUGCCAGCAGCCGCGGAAAUACGUAGGGGGCAAGCGUUAUCCGGAUUUACUGGGUGUAAAGGGAGCGUAGACGGCAGUGCAAGUCCGGAGUGAAAGCCCGGGGCUCAACCCUGGGACUGCUCUGGAAACUGUAAAGCUGGAGUGCGGGAGGGGCAGGCGGAAUUCCUGGUGUAGCGGUGAAAUGCUUAUAUAUCAGGAGGAACACCGGCGGCGAAGGCGGCCUGCUGGACCGUAACUGACGUUGAGGCUCGAAAGCGUGGGGAGCAAACAGGAUUAGAUACCCUCGUAA